RNAcentral lists this ribosomal RNA (415 nucleotides) under uncultured cyanobacterium. Its description in RNAcentral is "bacterial SSU rRNA". It matches the Rfam family "Bacterial small subunit ribosomal RNA", at positions 366 to 795 of the family's 1533-position model. The record is from RNAcentral. Lineage: Bacteria; Bacillati; Cyanobacteriota.
CCGCAAUGGGCGAAAGCCUGACGGAGCAAUACCGCGUGAGGGAGGAAGGCUCUUGGGUCGUAAACCUCUUUUCUCAGGGAAGAAAAAAAUGACGGUACCUGAGGAAUAAGCAUCGGCUAACUCCGUGCCAGCAGCCGCGGUAAUACGGAGGAUGCAAGCGUUAUCCGGAAUGAUUGGGCGUAAAGGGUCCGCAGGUGGCGAUGAAAGUCUGCUGUUAAAGAGUCUAGCUCAACUAGAUAAGAGCAGUGGAAACUACAUAGCUAGAGUACGUUCGGGGCAGAGGGAAUUCCUGGUGUAGCGGUGAAAUGCGUAGAGAUCAGGAAGAACACCAGUGGCGAAGGCGCUCUGCUAGGCCGUAACUGACACUGAGGGACGAAAGCUAGGGGAGCGAAUGGGAUUAGAUACCCCWGUAGUC